Molecule: ribosomal RNA, 794 nt
Filed under: uncultured Pelagibacteraceae bacterium
Lineage: Bacteria; Pseudomonadati; Pseudomonadota; Alphaproteobacteria; Candidatus Pelagibacterales; Candidatus Pelagibacteraceae
Description: bacterial SSU rRNA
Rfam family: Bacterial small subunit ribosomal RNA
Source: RNAcentral
CGCCUUAUACAUGCAAGUCGAACGAAGUAGCAAUACUUAGUGGCAGACGGGUGAGUAACAUGUAGGUAUCUUCCCUUUGGUGAGGAAUAACACGAGGAAACUUGUGCUAAUACCUCAUAAGUCUUUACGGAGAAAGCUUUAUGCGCCAUGGGAUGAGCCUGCACUUGAUUAGUUUGUUGGUGGGGUAAUGGCCUACCAAGACUUUGAUCAAUAGCUGAUCUGAGAGGAUGAUCAGCCACAUUGGGACUGAGACACGGCCCAAACUCCUACGGGAGGCAGCAGUAGGGAAUAUUGCACAAUGGAGGAAACUCUGAUGCAGCGAUGCCGCGUGAGUGAAGAAGGCCUUUGGGUUGUAAAGCUCUUUCGUCGGGGAAGAAAAUGACUGUACCCGAAUAAGAAGGUCCGGCUAACUUCGUGCCAGCAGCCGCGGUAAUACGAAGGGACCUAGCGUAGUUCGGAAUUACUGGGCUUAAAGAGUUCGUAGGUGGUUAAAAAAGUUGGUGGUGAAAUCCCAGAGCUUAACUCUGGAACUGCCAUCAAAACUUUUUAGCUAGAGUGUGAUAGAGGAAAGCAGAAUUUCUAGUGUAGAGGUGAAAUUCGUAGAUAUUAGAAAGAAUACCAAUUGCGAAGGCAGCUUUCUGGAUCAUUACUGACGCUGAGGAACGAAAGCAUGGGUAGCGAAGAGGAUUAGAUACCCUCGUAGUCCAUGCCGUAAACGAUGUGUGUUAGACGUUGGAAAUUUAUUUUCAGUGUCGCAGCGAAAGCAUUAAACACACCGCCUGGGGAGUACGACC